ACGGAGGGUGCAAGCGUUAUCCGGAUUCACUGGGUUUAAAGGGUGCGUAGGCGGGUAGGUAAGUCAGUGGUGAAAUCUCCGAGCUUAACUCGGAAACUGCCAUUGAUACUAUCUAUCUUGAAUGUUCUGGAGGUGAGCGGAAUAUGUCAUGUAGCGGUGAAAUGCUUAGAUAUGACAUAGAACACCAAUUGCGUAGGCAGCUCACUACGGAAAUAUUGACGCUGAGGCACGAAAGCGUGAGGAUCAAACAGGA
Molecule: ribosomal RNA, 253 nt
Filed under: uncultured prokaryote
Description: partial 16S ribosomal RNA
Rfam family: Bacterial small subunit ribosomal RNA
Source: RNAcentral